This 396-nucleotide ribosomal RNA is filed under the name uncultured bacterium. RNAcentral's name for it is "bacterial SSU rRNA". It matches the Rfam family "Bacterial small subunit ribosomal RNA", at positions 8 to 420 of the family's 1533-position model. The record is from RNAcentral.
AGGGUUUGAUCAUGGCUCAGAACGAACGCUGGCGGCAGGCUUAACACAUGCAAGUCGAACGAGAAGCCAUCCUUCGGGGUGGUGGAAAGUGGCGCACGGGUGAGUAACACGUGGGAACCUACCCUUUGGUUCGGAAUAACCGCGGGAAACUGCGGCUAAUACCGAAUAAGCCCUAUGGGGGAAAGAUUUAUCGCCGAAGGAUGGGCCCGCGCCGGAUUAGCUUGUUGGUAGGGUAACGGCCUACCAAGGCUACGAUCCGUAGCUGGUCUGAGAGGAUGGUCAGCCACACUGGGACUGAGACACGGCCCAGACUCCUACGGGAGGCAGCAGUGGGGAAUAUUGGACAAUGGGCGCAAGCCUGAUCCAGCCAUGCCGCGUGAGUGAAGAAGGCCCUAG